RNAcentral lists this ribosomal RNA (257 nucleotides) under uncultured bacterium. RNAcentral's name for it is "partial 16S ribosomal RNA". It matches the Rfam family "Bacterial small subunit ribosomal RNA", at positions 524 to 776 of the family's 1533-position model. The record is from RNAcentral.
UACGUAGGGUGCGAGCGUUGUCCGGAAUUAUUGGGCGUAAAGGGCUCGUAGGCGGUUUGUCACGUCAGGAGUCGAAACUCGGGGCUCAACCCCGAGCCUGCUUCUGAUACGGGCAGACUAGAGUGUGGUAGGGGGAGACUGGAAUUCCUGGUGUAGCGGUGAAAUGCGCAGAUAUUGGGAAGAACACCUGAGGCGAAGGCGGGUUGCGUGGGCUGAGUACUGACGCUGAGGCGCGAAAGCCAGGGGAGGCAAACGGG